RNAcentral lists this ribosomal RNA (462 nucleotides) under uncultured bacterium. RNAcentral describes it as "partial 16S ribosomal RNA". It matches the Rfam family "Bacterial small subunit ribosomal RNA", at positions 29 to 523 of the family's 1533-position model. The record is from RNAcentral.
AGCGAACGCUGGCGGCAGGCCUAAUACAUGCAAGUCGAACGGCUCUUCGGAGCAGUGGCGGACGGGUGAGUAACACGUGGGAACGUGCCCUUUGGUACGGAACAACUGAGGGAAACUUCAGCUAAUACCGUAUGUGCCCCCAUUCUUAGCGGGAUGGGUGGGAAAGAUUUAUCGCCAUUGGAGCGGCCCGCGUUGGAUUAGCUAGUUGGUGGGGUAAAGGCCCACCAAGGCUACGAUCCAUAGCUGGUCUGAGAGGAUGAUCAGCCACACUGGGACUGAGACACGGCCCAGACUCCUACGGGAGGCAGCAGUAGGGAAUCUUGCGCAAUGGGCGAAAGCCUGACGCAGCCAUGCCGCGUGAAUGAUGAAGGUCUCAGGGUUGUAAAAUUCUUUCACCGGGGAAGAUAAUGACGGUAACCGGAGAAGAAGCCCCGGCUAACUUCGUGCCAGCAGCCGCGGUAA